GGGAGCUCUUAAGAAUACUAAUACCGGCCAGGCGCGGUGGCUUACGCCUGUAAUCCCAGCACUUUGGGUGGCUGAGGCAGGCGGAUCACAAGGUCAGGAGAUCAAGACCAUCCUGGCUAACACGGUGAAACCCCACCUCUACUAAAAAUACAAAAAAUUAGUCAGGCGUGGUGGUGGGCACCUGUAGUCCCAGCUACUCAGGAGGCUGAGGCAGGAGAAUGGCGUGAACCCGGGAGGCGGAGCUUGCAGUGCGCCGAGAUCGCGCCACUGCACUCCAGCCUGGGCAACAGAGCGAGACUCUGUUUCAAAAAGGAGAAGAAGAAAAAGAAUACUAAUGCCUUGGCUCUAUACCCAGAAUUUUUUUUUCCUUUUCCUUUUUUUUUUUUUUUUUUCCCGGAGACAGGGUCUUACUCUGUCACCCAGAAUGAAGUGCAGUCGUGUGAUCCUAGCUCACUACAGUGCAGAACUCCUGGGCUCAAGGGAGCCUCUCUAGUAUUUGAGACUAUAGUUGUGUGCCCACUUCCAGCGAAUUUUUAAACAUUUUUAAAAACUGUUUAUUAUUAUUAUCUUUAUUUUUGAGAUUUAUUUUUGUAAUUCCAAAGUGCUGGGAUUAUGGGUGUGAGCCACCGCGCCCGGCCGCCUAGGCUGGUCUUGAACUCCUGGCCUCCUCAAGUGAUCCUCCCAUCACAGCCUCCUGAGUAGCUGGGAUUAGAGGCACUAGCCACUGCCCCAGCUAUCCCCAGAAAUUCUAAUUUAGUUUGGCAUCAAUACAGUUUUAAGAGUAUUCCAGAUGAUUUAUAAUGUGCAGUCAGGCAUCGUCUUAAGAAAAAGAGGCAUCAUCAGACAGGGUGUAUGCCAAAAAAAAAAAGAAAAAAUAAUCGAAUAAUCUGCAGAGGGUGGUGUUUGGAGACUGGCAGCUGGGUCCCCUCUGGAGUGGCCCUGGGGAGUGACACACAGAGGCAGCGUCCCAGAACCAUUUUGGCCCACUGCAUUAAUGCCCUCACCCCCUCCUGCAGGGUUGUGCAAUAGCGAAGCAGCUGGGUGCAGAAAUCUACCUGGAAGGCUCGGCUUUCACCUCAGAAAAGAGCAUCCACAGCAUCUUUCGGAUGGCAUCCAUGCUGUGUCUGAACAAGCCUAGCCCACUGCCCCAGAAGAGCCCUGUCCGAAGCCUCUCCAAACGACUGCUCCACCUCCCCAGUCGCUCUGAACUCAUCUCUUCUACCUUCAAGAAGGAAAAGGCCAAAAGCUGUUCCAUUAUGUGAAGUGGAAAUUGGAGGGGGGAGACAACCCCCUACUUCCUCCCUUGGGGUGCAGAGGCACGGGGAGAGGGAGGAUGAGACAAUUUAGGACACUGGACAUGAGUUUUUCAGAUGGCCACGGUGAGGGCUUGGAAGGAGACAGGAAUGGGGCGAGGAAGGAGCCAGGCCCGGCAUGAGGACCUGACACUGAGAGAGAACCAUCAUACCCCAAGCCAGGCACUAGAUUGUGGAGGGGCGACUACCCCAGUGCCCCGCCCCCGCUCCAGAGGAAGGAAAGCUGUGGGGGAUGGGGGGCAUGCUGGCCUCAUGGGCUUGGGGGCCUACAGCAGCCUCACCUUCAGCAUCAUGCCUCUUCCACACAGCGUUUCCAUGCAGGUCAGGGGAUGGGAGGGGUCCCUAAGCCCUUCCCUUCCCCUCUAAGGAGGCAGCAAUGGAGAGUGGGGAAGCCGCCGAGCGGCAGCUCCCUUGGGGGCUUAGCCCAGGUGCUUCAUAACUGCAAUUGGAAGUGCAGGAGCUGGUCAGAGCCAAUGAGAAGGAAACCUCAUCUUUGCAUAGCCCAUGCCUCAUGGAGAGGUGACAUCAUACAUUCACAUGCUUCUCACCUAAGUCCCCAGGGUCCAAGGGAGAAGCCCCAGACCCCCUUCUCUUGCAGAGUGUGGGGGUGGUGGUGCUGCAGGGGCAGGGCUGGGUGGGGGUCACCAGACUUUUUCUGCCCUUAGGGCAGUACAGCUGGCAUUUGUUUUAUAGACUCUUGUCUUUGGAAUUGGGGGGAGGGAGGGAGUGUUUCAAUCUGUUAUAUGUUCUGUGUUUAAUGAAGAAAACCUAUUUAUUAAUGAAAAAUAUAAUACAUAUAAAG
RNAcentral lists this small RNA (2115 nucleotides) under Pongo abelii (Sumatran orangutan). RNAcentral describes it as "retained intron". The record is from RNAcentral. Lineage: Eukaryota; Metazoa; Chordata; Mammalia; Primates; Hominidae.